This 461-nucleotide ribosomal RNA is filed under the name uncultured bacterium. RNAcentral's name for it is "partial 16S ribosomal RNA". It matches the Rfam family "Bacterial small subunit ribosomal RNA", at positions 338 to 795 of the family's 1533-position model. The record is from RNAcentral.
CCUACGGGGGGCAGCAGUGAGGAAUAUUGGUCAAUGGCCGGAAGGCUGAACCAGCCAAGUCGCGUGAGGGAAUAAGGCCCUAUGGGUCGUAAACCUCUUUUGUCAGGGAGCAAAGGCGUCCACGAGUGGACGAAAGGAGAGUACCUGAAGAAAAAGCAUCGGCUAACUCCGUGCCAGCAGCCGCGGUAAUACGGAGGGUGCGAGCGUUAAUCGGAAUUACUGGGCGUAAAGCGCUCGUAGGCGGUAUGUCAAGUCAAGGGUGAAAUCCCCGGGCUUAACGUGGGAACUGCCUUUGAAACUGGCAAACUGGAGUGUGUGAGAGGAUAGUGGAAUUCCAGGUGUAGGAGUGAAAUCCGUAGAUAUCUGGAGGAACAUCAGUGGCGAAGGCGACUAUCUGGCACAUAACUGACGCUGAGGAGCGAAAGCGUGGGUAGCAAACAGGAUUAGAUACCCUUGUAGUC